GUUUUUGAGGGAUCUAAGGUGGGUUAUUUUGGUAGUUGUUUGUUGUUCUGUUUUGUGUUUUUAUGUGGAUCAUUUCGGUGCAAAGAUGGAGAAGAACCGGCUGCAUGCAGGCUGGCAACUUCUGUCCAGUUGCGAUGUAAAGGGAGUAGACAUUCCAAGGGUUGAAAGUGCUGGCUGAAUGGGUGCUGCUGCCCUCUGGCUACAAGAGACUGAGAGGCCAUUAUAGGCUCUACUUCCUCCUAAAAUCUAUUUCUUUUUCCAUUUGCAGAUGUUCGUUUGAGUCCUCAUGUUUCUUCAGCCCCAUGGCCUGUUCUCUUCUGGUUUUCUUUUGGCUACUUUGCUAUUCUCAGUGUACUGUGAUUGCAAGUGGUUCAUUUGAUCUUGAAGCAGUCGGUGUUGCCACCUAAAGAAGUAAGAAUUCAUGGCGCGGACGACUCCAAGGCAGUGGCGCUAGUAUUUGGAGAAGAUGAGUCCUGCGGUUUCGGUUUCUCUACCCGGUUCGGUUAGAGUUUCUGUAAGGGUAUGGGUUUUGGUCUUAGAAAUGGGCUGAUCUUGAAAAUGCUAGAUGAGCUUUUAGCUAGAUUUCGG
RNAcentral lists this unclassified non-coding RNA (588 nucleotides) under Hevea brasiliensis (rubber tree). The record is from RNAcentral. Lineage: Eukaryota; Viridiplantae; Streptophyta; Magnoliopsida; Malpighiales; Euphorbiaceae.